UACGAAGGGGGCUAGCGUUGCUCGGAAUCACUGGGCGUAAAGGGUGCGUAGGCGGGUCUUUAAGUCAGAGGGGAAAUCCUGGAGCUCAACUCCAGAACUGCCUUUGAUACUGAAGAUCUUGAGUUCGGGAGAGGUGAGUGGAACUGCGAGUGUAGAGGUGAAAUUCGUAGAUAUUCGCAAGAACACCAGUGGCGAAGGCGGCUCACUGGCCCGAUACUGACGCUGAGGCACGAAAGCGUGGGGAGCAAACAGG
This 253-nucleotide ribosomal RNA is filed under the name uncultured bacterium. RNAcentral's name for it is "partial 16S ribosomal RNA". It matches the Rfam family "Bacterial small subunit ribosomal RNA", at positions 524 to 776 of the family's 1533-position model. The record is from RNAcentral.